This 465-nucleotide ribosomal RNA is filed under the name Vreelandella stevensii. RNAcentral's name for it is "partial 16S ribosomal RNA". It matches the Rfam family "Bacterial small subunit ribosomal RNA", at positions 338 to 795 of the family's 1533-position model. The record is from RNAcentral. Lineage: Bacteria; Pseudomonadati; Pseudomonadota; Gammaproteobacteria; Oceanospirillales; Halomonadaceae.
CCUACGGGCGGCUGCAGUGGGGAAUAUUGGACAAUGGGCGAAAGCCUGAUCCAGCCAUGCCGCGUGUGUGAAGAAGGCCUUCGGGUUGUAAAGCACUUUCAGUGGGGAAGAAAGCCUUGGGGCUAAUACCCUCGAGGAAGGACAUCACCCACAGAAGAAGCACCGGCUAACUCCGUGCCAGCAGCCGCGGUAAUACGGAGGGUGCGAGCGUUAAUCGGAAUUACUGGGCGUAAAGCGCGCGUAGGCGGUCUGAUAAGCCGGUUGUGAAAGCCCCGGGCUCAACCUGGGAACGGCAUCCGGAACUGUCAGGCUAGAGUGCAGGAGAGGAAGGUAGAAUUCCCGGUGUAGCAGUGAAAUGCAUAGAGAUCGGGAGGAAUACCAGUGGCGAAGGCGGCCUUCUGGACUGACACUGACGCUGAGGUGCGAAAGCGUGGGUAGCAAACAGGAUUAGAUACCCGUGUAGUC